This 426-nucleotide ribosomal RNA is filed under the name uncultured bacterium. Its description in RNAcentral is "bacterial SSU rRNA". It matches the Rfam family "Bacterial small subunit ribosomal RNA", at positions 356 to 773 of the family's 1533-position model. The record is from RNAcentral.
GGGGAAUAUUGGACAAUGGGGGGAACCCUGAUCCAGCCAUGCCGCGUGUGUGAAGAAGGCCUUAUGGUUGUAAAGCACUUUAAGCGAGGAGGAGGCUACUGAGACUAAUACUCUUGGAUAGUGGACGUUACUCGCAGAAUAAGCACCGGCUAACUCUGUGCCAGCAGCCGCGGUAAUACAGAGGGUGCGAGCGUUAAUCGGAUUUACUGGGCGUAAAGCGUGCGUAGGCGGCUUUUUAAGUCGGAUGUGAAAUCCCCGAGCUUAACUUGGGAAUUGCAUUCGAUACUGGGGAGCUAGAGUAUGGGAGAGGAUGGUAGAAUUCCAGGUGUAGCGGUGGAAUGCGUAGAGAUCUGGAGGAAUACCGAUGGCGAAGGCAGCCAUCUGGCCUAAUACUGACGCUGAGGGACGAAAGCAUGGGGAGCAAAC